CCAGUUCCAGCAUCUUUGAUUCUCAGCCUCAUCAUCUCUUUCUCUACCAUGGAUAAUGACUGAUGACAGAGCACAACGCCAAUAACUUCCCAAUCAUAUCAUAACAUUGUCAGCCUAUUCUGAGCGGAGCAGCAGCUUAUAUUGAUGGCAAAGUACCUUGUGUCUCGAUAGAUUCUUUCUCUGUUAUCUUCCUCUCCGGAAUGGAAACAGGAAACCCAUUAAUAAUAUUGACAACCAAAGAAAAGCUUUGCUUUGGCUUGAGGGUUUUCCAGAAGCUUGUUGCCUUCACAGAGUGGUCAUUCUUUGUUUCAGGUCAAGAAAGCUUUUGAUUAGAACAGGGCAGUGUUUUAUCUUAAAUGGUUUCAUUUUCUCAGGAAGGUACAAUGAAAUUGCUAAGUGUGGUUUUGCUGCAAUGGAAAGAGA
Molecule: unclassified non-coding RNA, 423 nt
Filed under: Hevea brasiliensis (rubber tree)
Lineage: Eukaryota; Viridiplantae; Streptophyta; Magnoliopsida; Malpighiales; Euphorbiaceae
Source: RNAcentral